Molecule: ribosomal RNA, 217 nt
Filed under: uncultured bacterium
Lineage: Bacteria
Description: partial 16S ribosomal RNA
Rfam family: Bacterial small subunit ribosomal RNA
Source: RNAcentral
AUUGAACGCUGGCGGAAUGCUUUACACAUGCAAGUCGAGCGGCAGCGCGGGGCAACCUGGCGGCGAGCGGCGAACGGGUGAGUAAUGCAUGGAACAUGUCCAUGUCGUGGGGGAUAGCCCGGCGAAAGCCGGAUUAAUACCGCAUACGCCGAGAGGGAAGUGGGGACGCAAGGCUCACGCGAUGGUUGGCCGAUGUCCGAUUAGCUAGUUGGCGGGG